RNAcentral lists this ribosomal RNA (111 nucleotides) under Clostridium botulinum. Its description in RNAcentral is "partial 16S ribosomal RNA". It matches the Rfam family "Bacterial small subunit ribosomal RNA", at positions 1434 to 1533 of the family's 1533-position model. The record is from RNAcentral. Lineage: Bacteria; Bacillati; Bacillota; Clostridia; Eubacteriales; Clostridiaceae. RNAcentral also lists the same sequence under 1 other name.
GCUAACCCGUAAGGGAGGCAGCGACCUAAGGUAGGGUCAGCGAUUGGGGUGAAGUCGUAACAAGGUAGCCGUAGGAGAACCUGCGGCUGGAUCACCUCCUUUCUAUGGAGA